Molecule: ribosomal RNA, 264 nt
Filed under: uncultured bacterium
Lineage: Bacteria
Description: partial 16S ribosomal RNA
Rfam family: Bacterial small subunit ribosomal RNA
Source: RNAcentral
GUCCACGCCCUAACGAUGCACACUAGUUGUUGUGAGGCUCGACCUUGCAGUAAUGCAGUUAACACAUUAAGUGUGCCGCCUGGGAGUACGGUCGCAAGAUUAAACUCAAAGGAAUAGACGGGGACCCGCACAAGCGGUGGAGCAUGUGGUUUAAUUCGACGAUACACGAAGAACCUUACCUGGACUUGACAUAGUAAGAACUUUCUAGAGAUAGAUUGGUGUCUGCUUGCAGAAACUUAUAUACAGGUGCUGCACGGCUGUCGU